UCUCCGUAUUAGGUACUUGUA
RNAcentral lists this non-coding RNA (21 nucleotides) under Caenorhabditis elegans. The record is from RNAcentral. Lineage: Eukaryota; Metazoa; Nematoda; Chromadorea; Rhabditida; Rhabditidae.